GCUAUUCGGCGUCGAGCGGCGGACGGGUGAGUAAUGCUUGGGAAUAUGCCUUUAGGUGGGGGACAACAGUUGGAAACGACUGCUAAUACCGCAUAAUGUCUACGGACCAAAGGGGGGGAUCUUCGGACCUCUCGCCUAUAGAUUAGCCCAAGUGAGAUUAGCUAGUUGGUGAGGUAAUGGCUCACCAAGGCGACGAUCUCUAGCUGGUUUGAGAGGAUGAUCAGCCACACUGGGACUGAGACACGGCCCAGACUCCUACGGGAGGCAGCAGUGGGGAAUAUUGCACAAUGGGCGAAAGCCUGAUGCAGCCAUGCCGCGUGUGUGAAGAAGGCCUUCGGGUUGUAAAGCACUUUCAGUUGUGAGGAAAGGGGUGUAGUUAAUAACUGCAUUCUGUGACGUUAACAACAGAAGAAGCACCGGCUAACUUCGUGCCAGCAGCCGCGGUAAUACGAGGGGUGCAAGCGUUAAUCGGAAUUACUGGGCGUAAAGCGUACGUAGGCGGUUUGUUAAGCAAGAUGUGAAAGCCCCGGGCUCAACCUGGGAACUGCAUUUUGAACUGGCAAACUAGAGUACUGUAGAGGGUGGUGGAAUUUCCAGUGUAGCGGUGAAAUGCGUAGAGAUUGGAAGGAACAUCAGUGGCGAAAGCGGCC
This 650-nucleotide ribosomal RNA is filed under the name Colwellia sp. OFEM60. RNAcentral's name for it is "bacterial SSU rRNA". It matches the Rfam family "Bacterial small subunit ribosomal RNA", at positions 76 to 726 of the family's 1533-position model. Lineage: Bacteria; Pseudomonadati; Pseudomonadota; Gammaproteobacteria; Alteromonadales; Colwelliaceae. The record is from RNAcentral.